AACGGCGGCAAUUUGUUUACAG
This 22-nucleotide microRNA is filed under the name Caenorhabditis elegans. RNAcentral's name for it is "cel-miR-4923b". Lineage: Eukaryota; Metazoa; Nematoda; Chromadorea; Rhabditida; Rhabditidae. The record is from miRBase by way of RNAcentral.